Hyaena hyaena (striped hyena) is the source of this 278-nucleotide long non-coding RNA. RefSeq lists it as uncharacterized. The transcript is spliced from 2 exons. The record is from RefSeq and is a predicted model, not a curated record. Lineage: Eukaryota; Metazoa; Chordata; Mammalia; Carnivora; Hyaenidae.
UCUAUUAUCUCUUCCUGACUGACUCUUCUACCUUCCACUUAUGCUUUUAAGGCCUCAUGUGAGUACACUGGACAACUCAAAGUAAUCCAGGAUAAUCUCCCAAUGUUAAAGUCAGCAGACUAGUAAUCUAAGUGACAUCUGCAAUGGUCUGAAAGCUGGUCAUAGAUGGGAUGGCUCAGAAUGCUGCACCUUCAUUAUCGGCUUCUGCUUUGACCACAUCACAGCUCAAGAUUCUCACCGAAUUCUGUUUUGUGCCAUUAAAAUUGAACUUCUAAUCC